This 497-nucleotide ribosomal RNA is filed under the name uncultured bacterium. RNAcentral's name for it is "partial 16S ribosomal RNA". It matches the Rfam family "Bacterial small subunit ribosomal RNA", at positions 28 to 507 of the family's 1533-position model. The record is from RNAcentral.
GAUGAACGCUGGCGGCGUGCCUAAUACAUGCAAGUCGAGCGAACAGACGAGGAGCUUGCUCCUCUGACGUUAGCGGCGGACGGGUGAGUAACACGUGGAUAACCUACCUAUAAGACUGGGAUAACUUCGGGAAACCGGAGCUAAUACCGGAUAAUAUAUUGAACCGCAUGGUUCAAUAGUGAAAGACGGUUUUGCUGUCACUUAUAGAUGGAUCCGCGCCGCAUUAGCUAGUUGGUAAGGUAACGGCUUACCAAGGCAACGAUGCGUAGCCGACCUGAGAGGGUGAUCGGCCACACUGGAACUGAGACACGGUCCAGACUCCUACGGGAGGCAGCAGUAGGGAAUCUUCCGCAAUGGGCGAAAGCCUGACGGAGCAACGCCGCGUGAGUGAUGAAGGUCUUCGGAUCGUAAAACUCUGUUAUUAGGGAAGAACAAAUGUGUGUGUAACUAUGCACGUCUUGACGGUACCUAAUCAGAAAGCCACGGCUAACUACGUG